CGCAACGUGCAUCGAAUACACAUUAUAUCUCUUUGAGUUUGUGAAAAAAGAAUGAAAUCCAGCCACGUCAUGUGUAUUGCUUUUUUUCUCGCCGUUAUGUGCGGAAAAUAAGGGGAAGUUGUUACAAGGACAAACAGAUAAGUAGUAAAACAUUUACCAAAAGGUUAUUCAGGAAUUCAUUGUUUGAGGAGUGGAGGAAUUUGUACGAAAAGCUAUUGUUUUAAGGGGUAUUUUGAGGACCAUUUGCUACACGAAGACUGUUGUUCUCCUGAAAGAUGUUGUCUUCCCUUGAGGCAUCAAAAGCCAUCAAAUUUUCCAAGUUACUAGAACUCGAUCAGCAUGAAAUGACAACCUCAAAACCACGGUAUUAAUGAU
Molecule: long non-coding RNA, 375 nt
Organism: Mytilus californianus (California mussel)
Lineage: Eukaryota; Metazoa; Mollusca; Bivalvia; Mytilida; Mytilidae
Exons: 4
Source: RefSeq, a predicted model, not a curated record